Frieseomelitta varia is the source of this 274-nucleotide long non-coding RNA. RefSeq lists it as uncharacterized. The transcript is spliced from 2 exons. NCBI's taxonomy places the organism in Eukaryota, Metazoa, Arthropoda, Insecta, Hymenoptera, Apidae. The record is from RefSeq and is a predicted model, not a curated record.
UGCUCUAAGUUUGAAGAAAAAGUUGUCUCCGUGGCAAUCAAAAAAGUGUCAAUCAAACCCAGGUGUUUCCUCGCAUUUCCAAGCUUUACGGCAACGUUACAAUGACGGGGAUUAUUUCCAAACUAAUCCAAAAUAAUGUUAUCGUGGAUACUCAAUUUAGAAUAUCGUUGAAAUAUUGUACGAUCAGUGUUAUUGCUGGAAUAAAGAAAAAAUAUAAUGAUAUGUAUUUAGCUAUUUAAAGUUUGUAUUGUAUCUUUGCAUUGUUUAUAUGUUU